Long non-coding RNA from Hemiscyllium ocellatum (epaulette shark), 2535 nucleotides. RefSeq lists it as uncharacterized. Lineage: Eukaryota; Metazoa; Chordata; Chondrichthyes; Orectolobiformes; Hemiscylliidae. The transcript has 6 exons. The record is from RefSeq and is a predicted model, not a curated record.
AUUGAGGAGCAUUUACUCAGUGAGUGCAAGAGGUUUGUUUGAAACAGACCGCAAUGGAGAGAUCAGCGCCCAGGGAAGCGAGGGAACAGCAGGCUCCUUCCAGCAGCACAUCGGGAUGGGAACCUGGGACACAGAGGGGGCUCCGAGACCGGGAUUGAUUCGGGGCAAAUGUGUUGGACCAAGAUAAUGUAAUAUUUCCUCAGUACAAAGCCAAAUAUGACCAUCUCUUUCUACCAACCAGCAGACAAAUACUUGAAGGACCACAACACAUUCCCUCGGGGCAAAGCCAAGUGUGAUCAGUUCCUUCUAACAAACAGCAGGUGGUAUCUCUCUGUCUUCCUCCAGACAAAUACCUGAGGGACUAAGACGCUGUAAUACUUCCUCAGUUCAAAGCGAAGUGUGACCGACUGCCUCGAGCAAACAGCAGGCAAGUACUCAAAAGGACCAGGACAAUGUAAUAUUCCCUCGGUACUGAGCCAAGUGUGACCAGUUGCUUCCAACAAACAGCCGGCAAGUACUCAAAGGACCAAGACAAUGUAAUAUUCCCUCGGUGCAGAGCCAAGUGUGACCAGCUGCUUCGAACAAACAGCAGAUAUGUUACUGCUGUCGGAGUGAAGAAUAUCCUUUCCACAGUCACAGAGUGGAUUGAGUCAGGUUCACAUUGAGGCUGUUUCCAGAGAGAUAUGUUCAAAAAAAAAGUCAAACACCACCAAGGAAAAGGAAGUUUUUUUUUAAUCUAUAUUCUCAAUGCAUGCAACCCAGUUCCAAUCAAUUUGAAUGAAUCCUCAUCAAAAAUAUACACUGCAUUAAAGCUGAACAUGGAACGGUACAGAACAAGAAUGGAUCCUUCAGCACACGAUGUUGUGCUGAACAUGACGCCGAAUGAAUCUGAAUCCCUUCUGCCUGCCCAUGGUCCAUAUCCCCCCUUUACUUGCAUGUUAAUUUGCUUAUUUUAAAGUCCCUUCAAUACUUUUUAUCGUAUCUGCCUCCGUCACCACCCCUGGCAGUGCAUUCCACUCCUACUACUCUCUACGUUAAAAGAGGUCCUUAGGUCUCCUUUGAACUUUUCCCAUCUCACCUUAUAUGCAUACCUCUUUGUUUUAGACAUUUCAACUCUUGGAAAAAGACUCUGACCAUCAACCGUAAACAUGCAUCUCCAAAUUUUAUAGACUUCUGGAUGUAGGUUUGCUCACUGUGAUGGAAAGUUUACCUAGUUUUGUAGGUAAUCAUCAGUCAGACUCCGGAUGAAGCACUGGUGGUAUGGCCCGCUUCCUGUUUAUAGGUUUAGGUUUCCUUGGGUUGGUGAUGACAUUUCCUGUGGUGAUGUCAUUUAGUGUUCAUUUUCUCCAGGGUGGUAAAUGGGAUCCAAGUCAAUCUGUUUGUUGAUGGAGUUCUGGUAGAAAUACCAUGCUUCUUGGAAUUCUCAUGCGUCUUGGUUUGACUUGUCCUAGGAUGGAUGUGUUGUCCCAGUUGAAAUGGUGUCCUUCCUCAUCUGUAUGUAAGGAUACUAGUAAGAGUGGGUCAUGUCUUUUUGUGGCUAGUUGUUAAUUUAUCCCGGUGGCUAGUUUUCUGCCUGUAGCGGACACAUAAAUACAAAAUGGGCCAUACCAUCAGUGCUUCAUCUAGAAGCUCUCUGAUAAUGGUACCUAGUAUGGUGACAAAACAUCUGAAAAUGAACCUUCCAACUCAGCAAGAAAACCUAGAUCCAGAACCUCAACCUGAGGUACAACUCUUACAAUUUUAUAGACUUCUAUUAAGUCUGCCCUCACCCUCUGCUGGGUUUUUCUAGCUUCUCUUUGUAGCUCAUACCCGCUAGACAACAUUCUAGCAAACCUCUUCUGUGCCCUCUCUAAAUCCUCCAUAUCCUUCCUGUAAUGUGCCAACCACAACUGAAAAAUCACUCCACACCAGAUUGUAGUCCAGAAGGUUAAUUUGGAAGUACUAUCUUUCAGAGUGCUGCUCCUUCAUCAGGUGGCUGUGAAACAGGAUCCUGAGACACAACUUAUCGCAAAAGAUUAGUGUCAUGCAACUGAAAUGAUAUAUUGAACAAACCUAGAUUGCUGUUCAGUGUUUCAUCUUUUAGAAUAGGUUGCAGGUUUCAGCUCAUUAAUAUAUACAUCCCAGAACCUCUUUUAAGUCACAUUCUCAAGAUGACUUUGGGUUUUAUUUAAAAAGAAGGGUGACAUCUCAACUCAGACAAUGUAUUAAAGGUGUGAGGUUAGAGUCUGUAUCCCAAUCUUGAGUCAGACUGGUCUUAUUACCAAAGUAGGAAUAUAUAAAACAUUACAUGGAUUGACUGCCUGCAGAUUGUGCUCUUUUUGAGCAAAAUACAAUGUAUCUGCAAAUAUAAUUCUGCAAAUGCAAAUUCACCCCAGAGACAUGUGUGUGUGUGUGCAUAUGAGAGAGAGAGCAUUUGAGUGUGAGUACACAUGCAAAUGUGUGUGUGGAUCAGAAACAAGUAGCUAACAAUUUUAAUCCUGAUCAGUCAGUAUCCAUUUGCAUAAAUGGAUCAUGGUAGCAGAGGAGCUACCAUCC